GAUGAACGCUGGCGGCGUGCCUAAUACAUGCAAGUCGAGCGAACAGACGAGGAGCUUGCUCCUCUGACGUUAGCGGCUGACGGGUGAGUAACACGUGGAUAACCUACCUAUAAGACUGGGAUAACUUCGGGAAACCGGAGCUAAUACCGGAUAAUAUAUUGAACCGCAUGGUUCAAUAGUUAAAGACGGUUUUGCUGUCACUUAUAGAUGGAUCCGCGCCGCAUUAGCUAGUUGGUAAGGUAACGGCUUACCAAGGCAACGAUGCGUAGCCGACCUGAGAGGGUGAUCGGCCACACUGGAACUGAGACACGGUCCAGACUCCUACGGGAAGCAGCAGUAGGGAAUCUUCCGCAAUGGGCGAAAGCCUGACGGAGCAACGCCGCGUGAGUGAUGAAGGUCUUCGGAUCGUAAAACUCUGUUAUUAGGGAAGAACAAAUGUGUAAGUAACUAUGCACGUCUUGACGGUACCUAAUCAGAAAGCCACGGCUAACUACGUG
Molecule: ribosomal RNA, 497 nt
Filed under: uncultured bacterium
Lineage: Bacteria
Description: partial 16S ribosomal RNA
Rfam family: Bacterial small subunit ribosomal RNA
Source: RNAcentral